UACCCGCUGAACUUAAGCAUAUCAAUAAGCGGAGGAAAAGAAACCAACAGGGAUUGCCUCAGUAACGGCGAGUGAAGCGGCAAAAGCUCAAAUUUGAAAUCCCCCCGGGGAAUUGUAAUUUGAAGAUUGUGUUUUGGAAACGACCGUGUCUAUGUUCCUUGGAACAGGACGUCACAGAGGGUGAGAAUCCCGUGCGGCACGGCCACCGUUUCCUUAUAAAACACUCUCGACGAGUCGAGUUGUUUGGGAAUGCAGCUCAAAGUGGGUGGUAAAUUCCAUCUAAAGCUAAAUACAGGCGAGAGACCGAUAGCGAACAAGUACAGUGAUGGAAAGAUGAAAAGCACUUUGAAAAGAGAGUGAAACAGUACGUGAAAUUGUUGAAAGGGAAGGGCAUGCCGUCAGAUUGUCAGUGUGGGUAAGAAGCGGGGUACAAAGACUGUGGAACGUGGCCCUCGGGUGUUAUAGCCACAGUUCAUCCCCCGUCUCUUUCCGAGGCCUGCUUUGAGGACACC
Molecule: ribosomal RNA, 512 nt
Filed under: Kodamaea transpacifica
Lineage: Eukaryota; Fungi; Ascomycota; Pichiomycetes; Serinales; Debaryomycetaceae
Description: LSU rRNA
Rfam family: Eukaryotic large subunit ribosomal RNA
Source: RNAcentral